AGUGAACGCUGGCGGUAGGCCUAACACAUGCAAGUCGAACGGCAGCACAGUAAGAGCUUGCUCUUACGGGUGGCGAGUGGCGGACGGGUGAGGAAUACAUCGGAAUCUACUUUUUCGUGGGGGAUAACGUAGGGAAACUUACGCUAAUACCGCAUACGACCUACGGGUGAAAGCAGGGGAUCUUCGGACCUUGCGCGAUUGAAUGAGCCGAUGUCGGAUUAGCUAGUUGGCGGGGUAAAGGCCCACCAAGGCGACGAUCCGUAGCUGGUCUGAGAGGAUGAACAGCCACACUGGGACCGAGGAAAGGGCCCGAAUCCUAAGGGAGGGAGGAGGGGGGAAUAAUGGAAAAAUGGCGGAAGCCCGAUUCAGCCAUGACGGGGGGGUGAAGAAGGCCUUCGGGUUGUAAAGCCCUUUUGUUGGGAAAGAAAAGCAGCAGGUUAAUACCCCGCUGUUCUGACGGUACCCAAAGAAUAAGCACCGGCUAACUUCGUG
This 492-nucleotide ribosomal RNA is filed under the name uncultured bacterium. RNAcentral's name for it is "partial 16S ribosomal RNA". It matches the Rfam family "Bacterial small subunit ribosomal RNA", at positions 29 to 507 of the family's 1533-position model. The record is from RNAcentral.